CGUCCACGCGGGAUGCCCCUCUCCUUCCCUUCUCUCCCUCCCUCCCUCCCCUGAAGGGAAUUCCCCUCCUCCGUCUCCCGUCUCCGUCCCCCGCCGCGAGUGCGAGUGCGAGAGCUCGCCAGAUAUUUUUUGCCCGCGUCGCCUCCGCCUCCCUCCUCUCCGUUCCGCGCUCACGAGCCCCGGGGGGAAGCCAUGAACUGCCUCCACAACCUGCUCAAGGAGCCUCCAAUCGUGGGAUCCAGGUCCAUGAGGCGGCCCUCUCCGCUCAAUCUGGCGAUGGUUCGUGGCGGGAGUCGCCGAUCAAAUACCGUCAAAACUGUACAGCCACCUGGGGCGACCACUUCUGGUGCAGAGAACAGCGCCCUCGAGGUCGGCACUGAGAAGUCCGAGGUGUACAGCACUAACAUGACACAGGCCAUGGGAGCAGUGUUGACAUAUAGACAUGAGCUCGGAAUGAACUACAAUUUCAUACGCCCAGACUUGAUUGUGGGCUCCUGCUUACAGAGUCCGCUUGAUGUCGAUAAGCUUCGAAAGAUUGGUGUGAAAACUAUAUUCUGCUUGCAGCAGGAUUCGGACCUUGAAUACUUUGGAGUUGACAUCCGUGCCAUUCAAGAUUAUUCUCUAAAAUUCAAAGAUAUUGAGCACUGCCGUGCUGAAAUUAGGGAUUUUGAUGCUUUUGAUUUGCGGUUGAGGCUUCCUGCUGUGGUUAGCAAACUGCACAAGCUUGUCAACCGUAAUGGUGGUGUAACAUAUAUUCAUUGCACUGCUGGACUUGGAAGAGCUCCUGCUGUGGCACUUGCUUAUAUGUUCUGGAUUCUUGGGUACAGUCUUAAUGAAGGACAUCAGCUACUUCAGAGUAAAAGGGCUUGCUUUCCAAAGUUGGAAGCCAUUAAGUUGGCAACUGCUGACAUUCUGACGGGAUUAUCCAAAAAUACAAUCACUUUGAAGUGGGAAGAUGAUAGUUCUUCUGUUGAAAUUUCUGGGCUCGACAUUGGCUGGGGUCAGAGGAUCCCUUUGACAUAUGAUAAGGAGAAAGGAGCUUGGUUUCUGGAGAAAGAGCUGCCUGGCGGUAUGAAUACAAAUACAUAGUGGAUGGCAAGUGGGUGUGCAAUGAGCAUGAGAAUAUAACCAAACCGAAUGCUGACGGCCAUGUGAACAACUAUGUCCAGGUCUCGAGAGAUGGCACGAGUGAUGAAGAGAAGGAACUGAGGGAGCGUUUGACUGGUCCGGACCCCGAUCUUACGGAUGAGGAAAGGCUGAUGGUCAGGGAGUACUUGGAACAAUACGUGGAUGCUGAGCAUUAGGAGGUUCCGGUUCCCGUUCCCGUUCCCAUGUGCUAGUGCAUAAACAAGUUGAUUGGAAUUAGGUAUAUCUCCUAAGUAAUGACAUAAACUGCAGAAGCUAGUGACCUUGUCAGCCUUGGCGAGAGGAAACAACAACACACGGAGAUGAAGAUGGUUGUUGUUGGCUCCCCCAUGUCAAUAGUAGCUUAACCGAGGAAAUGGGCACACUGUGCAUAGAAGGAGCAAUUUGUGUUGUUGACACCAUCGUGGCUGCAUAGAAAUAAUAAGUAUUGUAAAAGUUCACUAUCAUAAAAUAAAAUAACUAGUGUAUGGUCCUGAAUAAAUCCAAGGUAGCCCCUUGUGCUUUAA
Panicum virgatum (switchgrass) is the source of this 1652-nucleotide RNA transcript. It is a transcript of the gene named phosphoglucan phosphatase DSP4, amyloplastic-like, with no coding region annotated. The record is from RefSeq and is a predicted model, not a curated record. Lineage: Eukaryota; Viridiplantae; Streptophyta; Magnoliopsida; Poales; Poaceae. The transcript is spliced from 14 exons.